Molecule: ribosomal RNA, 1499 nt
Filed under: Triticum aestivum (bread wheat)
Lineage: Eukaryota; Viridiplantae; Streptophyta; Magnoliopsida; Poales; Poaceae
Description: partial small subunit ribosomal RNA
Source: RNAcentral
GAGAGCAGGCGCUGCACGAAGAGGUUGGUAACCAUGCGCUGCCACCAAGCCAGGCCCUCCACCGAGGACGUUAGGACCGCAGCGGCGUCGUCACCAAGGUAAGGCCGCCGUAGUCCCCUCGUGUGUUGCAGGUGCUCGUCGUUCGUCUCGGCCGGUUAGCCGGUUACUACGUCGUCGCGACCGGUACUCCUCUGCGGACGGCACCGCCUGCGCCUCUGUUGUUGGUACCCGCACCUUCUGCCAAAACCUAGGACACUCGGCGGCGGCGACGGAGCAGCAGUUCGUUGCACCCGGAAGACGACGAGGUACAGGUUGUUCAGCGGGUGCUCCGCAGUCACACCGUAACGAUCUAGGUCGAAGGGGGACGUUAGCAGAGACGGCGGUCGUGAACGUGCUUUAGCACGACCAAAGACAUCAAGUUCUAGUUUCCGUUCUUAGUCGGUUUAUACUACUACUCUUGUUCCGAUUACUACCUCUUGGAAGUAGAUAGCUUCGACUCGUCAGAUAACCCUAUGAUUCAAAGUUACGCGUAGGAUUCAAAGUCAAUGGACUUUAGUUCCGGUCAAAGUCAGCUACGGCUUCAUUUGAUGGUGUACAUUCAAAUCCCUGUGUGUAAUCAAAGGACGAUCCCUAAAUUACCAACGGCUUGAAAUACGUGUAUACCGCAUCAUCUCUACGUACGAAGCAAUAGGACGUCAAUAGACUUAAAAAAGACUGGACGUGAGAAGAACGGAAAUCAAGACAAGAAUUGUCUUAAUAAUGAAUGACUGUCUGCUUAUGAACAAAAGGAAGUAGUAGACGUAAAGUUUACUGAGUAAUACGUAGUCCGAUCGAUCCGUUAUACUUUAAAAUGAAGAACCGAUAUCAGUGGCUCGUGACGUUAAACUUUAAUGUCGGUGCUUAAAACCUAAUCAGCUUUCCCGUAAGAAUUAGACUAUGUCAGUUGGCUCGUGACGUUAAAAGUUUUGUUCUUCGCCGACGAUGGUAUAAUAAAUACAAAUGUUAGUUGUUUGAUGUAGGACUGUAAGGAAGAAUAAAAACAAACGUAAGUUUGCACUACUUGAACUCUUUUAGGUACGUGAAGUUAACCUGUCCUCAAAAGACGGUGCAUUAGCUACUACGUGAAGUGUACUGUCUUAACAAACAAUUUCCUUGAAAAACCGUUCUUUAUGUGUUGGCACAGUAAGUCACAACCUGGAUACAAUAACCGUUCUUUAUGUGAUUACACAUCGAGUGACGACUCCAGUCGUUCUCCCCCAUGUACGUGUAGACUGUGGAAAAAGAGAAGGCCGCGGAACGAUAAACGUAAAGGGUAAGCAUGGAUAGUAAAAAGUUGUCGUAAUCAUAACUACACCAUACAUAUGACUUGUUAACCGAACGGUACAUAAAAACCACAAGGUUGAACCUUGUACCCCUUCUUUACUGAUGUAACAUAUGUAGACUAUUUGUAAAUAACAGAACCCUACAUAAAAACCACAAGCUUGACCCUUGUACCCCGU